CCUACGGGAGGCAGCAGUAAGGAAUAUUGGUCAAUGGAGGCAACUCUGAACCAGCCAUGCCGCGUGCAGGAAGAAGGCCCUAUGGGUCGUAAACUGCUUUUGUACCAGAGAAAACCCGAGUACGUGUACUCGGUUGAUAGUAUGGUAAGAAUAAGCAUCGGCUAACUUCGUGCCAGCAGCCGCGGUAAGACGAAGGAUGCAAGCGUUAUCCGGAUUCAUUGGGUUUAAAGGGUGCGUAGGCGGACUGAUAAGUCAGUGGUGAAAUCUCUCAGCUUAACUGAGAAACUGCCAUUGAUACUGUUAGUCUAGAGUAUAGAUGACGUUGGCGGAAUAUGACAUGUAGUGGUGAAAUACUUAGAUAUGUCAUAGAACACCGAUUGCGAAGGCAGCUAACGAAACUAUAAACUGACGCUGAGGCACGAAAGUGCGGGGAUCAAACAGGAUUAGAUACCCUGGUAGUCCGCACCGUAAACGAUGAUUACUCGUUGUUGGCAAUAUGACCGUCGAGCGACCGACGACGAAGACGAGUAAGUAAGUACCGUACCGUUACGGGGUUAGGGUACGGUUCCGGGACCGAACCGGUUACGGAACCGUUACCGAAACGGAAGUUAGGUUACGGACGGUUGGAGGACGUUGCCGACGGACGACGACGAGGGGAGGAGG
This 663-nucleotide ribosomal RNA is filed under the name uncultured bacterium. RNAcentral's name for it is "bacterial SSU rRNA". The stretch from base 1 to 540 matches the Rfam family "Bacterial small subunit ribosomal RNA", at positions 338 to 873 of the family's 1533-position model. The record is from RNAcentral.